Molecule: ribosomal RNA, 491 nt
Filed under: uncultured bacterium
Lineage: Bacteria
Description: partial 16S ribosomal RNA
Rfam family: Bacterial small subunit ribosomal RNA
Source: RNAcentral
AGUGAACGCUGGCGGUAGGCCUAACACAUGCAAGUCGAACGGCAGCACAGUAAAAGCUUGCUCUUACGGGUGGCGAGUGGCGGACGGGUGAGGAAUACAUCGGAAUCUACUUUUUCGUGGGGGAUAACGUAGGGAAACUUACGCUAAUACCGCAUACGACCUACGGGUGAAAGCAGGGGAUCUUCGGACCUUGCGCGAUUGAAUGAGCCGAUGUCGGAUUAGCUAGUUGGCGGGGUAAAGGCCCACCAAGGCGACGAUCCGUAGCUGGUCUGAGAGGAUGAUCAGCCACACUGGAACUGAGACACGGUCCAGACUCCUACGGGAGGCAGCAGAGGGGAAUAUUGGACAAUGGGCGCAAGCCUGAUCCAGCCAUACCGCGUGGGUGAAGAAGGCCUUCGGGUUGUAAAGCCCUUUUGUUGGGAAAGAAAAGCAGCAGGUUAAUACCCCGCUGUUCUGACGGUACCCAAAGAAUAAGCACCGGCUAACUUCGU